UUGGCACUCACAGUGAUGGAGUAAUGUUUGAACGCUUGUUUUCAACUAUCUACAGAUCUCAUAAUGUUUAUUGUAUACAUGUUGAUCUUAAGGCAAAAUGGAGAUUCUAUCGGUUAAUAGAAAAGAUGGCGGCCUGCUAUAAUUCUCAUUUUAAAACAAACAAUGUUUUUCUCGUGGAGGACAGGGUAUCUGUAUACUGGGCACACUGGACUGUAGUUCAAGCAGAUCUAAACUGUAUGAGAGAACUUUUGGAGAGAAAUUCUAG
This is a long non-coding RNA of Eurytemora carolleeae, 265 nucleotides long. RefSeq lists it as uncharacterized. Lineage: Eukaryota; Metazoa; Arthropoda; Copepoda; Calanoida; Temoridae. The record is from RefSeq and is a predicted model, not a curated record. The transcript is spliced from 3 exons.